GUGCUCCCCCGCCAAUUCCUUUAAGUUUCGGCCUUGCGACCGUACUUCCCAGGCGGCGCGUUUCACGAUUUCUCUUCGGCACCUCGGUGACUCGUGGUCACCGAUACACCUAACGCGCAUCGUUUACAGCUGGGACUACCCGGGUAUCUAAUCCGGUUUGCUCCCCCAGCUUUCGUUCCUCACUGUCGGAGCCGUCCUGGUGAGACGCCUUCGCCACAGGUGGUCCCCCAAGGAUUACAGGAUUUCACUCCUACCCCUGGAGUACCUCUCACCUCUUCCGGUCCCUAGUCUGCCAGUAUCCCUGAGACGCCUUCCGGUUAAGCCGGAAGAUUUCCCCAGAGACUUAACAGACCAGCUACGAACGCUUUAAGCCCAGUAAUAGUGGCCACCACUCGAGCCGCCGGUAUUACCGCGGCGGCUGGCACCGGUCUUGCCCGGCCCUUUCUUCACCAGUUAUUUACACUGGCGGACAGCCUGAUUUUACAGGCACUCGGAGUUCCCUUAUCACGAUUGCUCGCAUUGUAAAGUUUUCGCGCCUGCUGCACCCCGU
This 550-nucleotide ribosomal RNA is filed under the name uncultured archaeon. RNAcentral's name for it is "partial 16S ribosomal RNA". The record is from RNAcentral.